CACACACACACACACACACACACACACACACACACAGGCAUCUGUCACUAUGCCAACCAGCACUGUGGGUAACCCGAGGUAUCCAGACGAAUAAAAAGCCUGUACUGCAGCAGCUCCCAGAAACAAGCACUGGACUUAUCGCUAAGAUGGCAAAGUGGCGGUGAUGGUCCACACCGACACACAAACAGAUUCUCCAAGCUGCAAACAGGAAGGUGCUAGCAGCAAAGUUAAUUGGGAACUAGCAACAUGGAAUGAACUCCAGUGAGCAAAAUAUCUGCCAGCAAAGCAACUUCAUAAGAGGAACUCUGGCUCACUGUCAACAUCAUCUUGUAACUUACCGAUACACUCAUUUUAUGGUAGCGUAUCGUAUGAGCUUCCUCCCCUUUAAGGCUACCACACCUGUAUGCCAAACGUCUCGUGGCUCACAAACUACAAGUGGGUGGAGCAUCUUUGCUCACAGCCAGAGUUGUGUACCGGAAAUGAUCACAUUUAUGAAAAUCCACUCGCUGUGACGUCACACAUGUAUAAAGUGUGAAUCUGAGCGUUUAAAAACAGAGUUUCCAGCUGCUGUACGAACACCACCUCAAUAUUUGAAACUUGUUUAAUACGAGCAUGCGUCGCUGGAGCAGGAAAUACACAACAGGAAACAAAGGACUGAACAGCAUGUGUAUACAACAACUGUCCAAAAUAAAUAACACUGUGAAAGUAGAUCUUGCAGAUAAAUGUGAAAGAUAAAAUCACAUGGUCAAUGGCGAGCGAUGAUGAUGGUCAGUCACACACAGAGACGGACACAUCGUACACGCCUUUUGUAAAUCCUGUCGUAAUGUGAGAGGAAGAAGAAGAUUUUGCUCCGUUUUCUUCCUCCGUUAUACAAACACAGCCUCCACAGCCGGCGCGCUCUGCAAUGCUGCUGAACUUUGGCCUUGUAGAGACACAGUUUGUGUUGUAGCUACGAUAACUGCUGAGCUGGAGCUCUGCAAUCACAGAGGAAAGUAAUAAUUUUGAUUAGUCUGUUUGUUCCCAUUGUGGAACUGAUGCCUAAAUGCAACAAUCUGUCUUUAUAUGCUUUUCAAGACGAAGAAACCAGACACAGAAAUGGGCGAACAGAUUUGUUUGGAAGGACAAACUAAAAGAUGGGUGCUUGAAAUACAUAAUAAAAUGUUUACUGCCACUUUAAUUUCACUUAUAUCGGGAAAAAAUGUUAUUUGCUGUGUGAAACAUGUUCAAGUGUGCUGAAAAUGUGUUUAUACUUUUAUUUAUA
Molecule: long non-coding RNA, 1261 nt
Organism: Oreochromis niloticus (Nile tilapia)
Lineage: Eukaryota; Metazoa; Chordata; Actinopteri; Cichliformes; Cichlidae
Exons: 3
Source: RefSeq, a predicted model, not a curated record